AAUAGACUACCCAGGUAGUCCACGCCGUAAACGAUGAGUGCUAAGUGUUAGAGGGUUUCCGGCCCUUUAGUGCUGCAGCUAACGCAUUAAGCACUCCGCCUGGGGAGUACGGCCGCAAGGCUGAAACUCAAAGGAAUUGACGGGGGCCCGCACAAGCGGUGGAGCAUGUGGUUUAAUUCGAAGCAACGCGAAGAACCUUACCAGGUCUUGACAUCCUCUGACACUCCUAGAGAUAGGAUUUUCCCCUUCGGGGGACAGAGUGACAGGUGGUGCAUGGUUGUCGUCAGCUCGUGUCGUGAGAUGUUGGGUUAAGUCCCGCAACGAGCGCAACCCUUGAUCUUAGUUGCCAGCAUUCGGUUGGGCACUCUAAGGUGACUGCCGGUGACAAACCGGAGGAAGGUGGGGAUGACGUCAAAUCAUCAUGCCCCUUAUGACCUGGGCUACACACGUGCUACAAUGGAUGGUACAAAGGGCAGCGAAGCCGCGAGGUGGAGCCAAUCCCAUAAAACCAUUCUCAGUUCGGAUUGUAGG
RNAcentral lists this ribosomal RNA (531 nucleotides) under uncultured bacterium. Its description in RNAcentral is "bacterial SSU rRNA". It matches the Rfam family "Bacterial small subunit ribosomal RNA", at positions 777 to 1304 of the family's 1533-position model. The record is from RNAcentral.